UUUCAUUUAAAAAUGUUCUUUUCAGAGACAGUCUCAUUCUGUUGCCCAGGCUGGAGUGGAGUGGCACAAUCAUACCUCGCUGCAGGCUCCAACUCCUGGACUCAAGCAGGCCUGCCACCUCAGCUUGCUGAGUAGCUGGGAUUACAGUGCCAGCCACUGCACCCUGCUGGCCUGCAAGGUUUUACCUGGUGCUUUAUGGAAAACAUUUGCUGACCUCUGAGCUAGCUCACAGUUCAGGCAAGGAAAUUGAAGUCCUGAAAGUUUAACUGAUUUGUUCCAGCUCAGAUGACUACACAGUGGUACAGUGAAAGAAUCCAAAAACUUAGGAGAGGCAUACACACCUUUUGUGGAUUAUCUGCUCAAAUCAAAUCCAGGAGGAUCAUGCAUCAAUGUCCAAACUCAUGUGGUGUCAAGACUUAAUGCUUUACUAAAAGGUGAGUCUCUGCUGUGGUCUUAGAUCCUUUCAAAGCCCACAAGGCUCUGUGGGGUUGACUCUUGUUAUGAUAAUUUCUAUAACUGCCAAUGUUGCAAAGAAAUUUUUGUUUCUGGCUCAAAUAAAUAUUUUCUCCAGAUCAAAAUUUUUGUUUCUGGCUUAAAUAAGUAUUUUCUCCAGAUCACACUCAUUGAUGUCUCAUUAAAUGCAAUAGAAUGUGUCUCAUUAAUGUUGGUGGGGUUUUUCUGAAGUGGCAAAUGAAAAUCAUUGAAUAUUGUUGAUCAAGUAGGAAAGUCUAGUUUAUUGGGAAAGGUGAACUAUGAGGUUUUAGUUAACAGAAGUGAAAUGUUUUAAGUUAGUGGUUUUAGAUGACUUACUGGGGGGAGUCAGAUAAGAUAGGAAGGAAGAAACUACAGAAUCUUGAAUAUAUAACAGAACAGGCAGUUGAGCCAAGAAAAUAGCUAAAGUCAAAACCAAAUGUGUUGAGGGAUUCAGUUGAACUUUGAAAUCUCUACUCUUGGGUGUCCUGAUUACGUGGCCAACUCCUUAAGGAUAUUAUAAUGAAAAAAGCCACAGCUCCCACCUUAGGAGAAUGUCUGGAAGGAGUUUGGGAGGGGGCUUGGGAGCAAGGAAGUGAUCUUGAGGGCAUGAUUUUGAAUUUGAAAUAACAGUUGUUAAAAAAAAAUAUUACCCAAGCACUAGUUAAGAUGGUCAGGCAGGUUUUACUGGGGAUCAGGCAAUAGGUGUAGGAACCACUGCAACAGGUCUUGCCAAUCAGACUUAACUCUGACCCCAACCAGGACAAGUGGGGGUUUGUAGCCGAGGAGCAGGGUGGUGACAGUGGGUGGAAAAUGACUAAGAGGAAACAUCAAGGAUAAGGGGUGUCUGGCUAAACUAACUUGAUAGGAUUCUUGCUGCAGGCAGGCCAGGGUGAUAAGAUAUUGAGGGUGGUCAGAUACCUAGAGUAGGGGAUUUCCUAACCUGACUUAACAGGAUUCUUGCUCACAUUAGAUUCAAUAAGGACAGAAAGGGAAGCCCAAGGUUGGGCCUCGUUAAGAGGAACACUCAGAGGAGCUUGACUAAAGUUUUAGUCAAAGGAAAGAGUCUUUGUACCUGUUAUUAUUCACACCUGUGAACUCAAGAACAUUUUUGGGCAUU
This 1591-nucleotide long non-coding RNA is filed under the name Macaca mulatta (Rhesus monkey). RNAcentral describes it as "lncRNA (ENSMMUG00000056997.1)". Lineage: Eukaryota; Metazoa; Chordata; Mammalia; Primates; Cercopithecidae. The record is from RNAcentral.